ACACGACUACAUUAGAUACCCGGGUAGUCCUAGCCGCAAACGACACUCGCUAGGUGUCGGCCACGGUGCGACCGUUGUCGGUGCCGUAGGGAAGCCGUGAAGCGAGCCACCUGGGAAGUACGGCCGCAAGGCUGAAACUUAAAGGAAUUGGCGGGGAGCACCACAACGGGUGGAGCUUGCGGUUUAAUUGGAUUCAACGCCGGAAAUCUUACCGGGACCGACAGCAACAUGAAGGCCAGGCUGAAGACUUUGCCGGAUUAGCUG
Molecule: ribosomal RNA, 264 nt
Filed under: uncultured archaeon
Lineage: Archaea
Description: partial 16S ribosomal RNA
Rfam family: Archaeal small subunit ribosomal RNA
Source: RNAcentral